Molecule: small nucleolar RNA, 103 nt
Organism: Octodon degus (degu)
Lineage: Eukaryota; Metazoa; Chordata; Mammalia; Rodentia; Octodontidae
Product: small nucleolar RNA U13
Exons: 1
Source: RefSeq, a predicted model, not a curated record
AGGUUUCUUCAGUUCCUGAGCGUGGUGAUUGGGUGCUGACGCCGUGUGCGUGAAAUGUGCCUCCUCAAACCUUGUUACAACAUUGGCAUUUACCCACCUGACA